GUCUUUGUAUUCUAGCGGUUAUGAUUUUUCCUUCACACGUGUCUUUCACGUGACAAAGUGGAGCGGAAGAGGUCCGCGGUUCGAACCCGCGCGAAGACA
Molecule: transfer RNA, 99 nt
Filed under: Kwoniella mangroviensis CBS 8507
Lineage: Eukaryota; Fungi; Basidiomycota; Tremellomycetes; Tremellales; Cryptococcaceae
Also listed under: 2 other names
Description: tRNA-Val
Source: RNAcentral